This 685-nucleotide long non-coding RNA is filed under the name Physeter macrocephalus (sperm whale). RNAcentral's name for it is "Physeter catodon (sperm whale) lncRNA (ENSPCTG00005000489.1)". The record is from RNAcentral. Lineage: Eukaryota; Metazoa; Chordata; Mammalia; Artiodactyla; Physeteridae.
GCGGAGCAGAGCUGUCCUUGCGCCCCGGUCAGGCUGUGCGCUGCUUCCUCCAGGGGCGGCUUGGGUGCGGCUCGGUUGCGAGCAGAGCCCGCCGGUCGCCUCGGGAGGAGGCCAGGAACAGCCGGCGGACCCGCAGAGACCAGGGCCGGGCGCCGGGAGCCUCUCCCUGCACGACUUACCCUGCAGCGCCCUUUCGAGGAGAUGCACCUUAAGAGGCGUACGUGUACAAAACCAGCUCCAGCACUUUCUGCUGCAGACUGGCAGGACGCAUGGACACGGUCACGGCCGUGGCCUUCAGCCCGGCUGCUGCCCAGUUUGAAGCUUUGAUUCCGAGAGCGCCACUGCCGUGUGACUGCGCACGCGAGUGUGCGUGUGUACCACGUGGAGCUGUACCGUCGAUGCUGUUUUCCGUACCUGCUUCCUUUCCCUGACACUGGAUUGCUGCGGUCCAGGGCGUGUUAUGGUGCCUGGCAACGUAGUUUACCUUCCAUUUGUAUUGAAUUUUGGAAAAAUGAAUAAAUGAAGCUUGUGUCCUUGACUAUAGAGCUUCCAUCGCUGUCGCCUGAAGUCUUCUUUGUACCCCAUCCAUCAUUAACCCUAAUUUGACCUUUGCAUCCUCUGCUGAUGGGUACUUAGGUUUAAAUUUUUCUAUCCUCUUAUAAACAAUACUGGGAUGUACACUUGA